Molecule: ribosomal RNA, 500 nt
Filed under: uncultured bacterium
Lineage: Bacteria
Description: partial 16S ribosomal RNA
Rfam family: Bacterial small subunit ribosomal RNA
Source: RNAcentral
AUUGAACGCUGGCGGCAUGCUUUACACAUGCAAGUCGAACGGCAGCACGGACUUCGGUCUGGUGGCGAGUGGCGAACGGGUGAGUAAUACAUCGGAACGUGCCCAGUUGUGGGGGAUAACUACUCGAAGGAGUAGCUAAUACCGCAUGAAAACGGAGGUUGAAAGCAGGGGAGCGUAAGACCUUGCGCAACUGGAGCGGCCGAUGGCAGAUUAGGUUGUUGGUGAGAUAAAAGCUUACCAAGCCGACGAUCUGUAGCUGGUCUGAGAGGACGACCAGCCACACUGGGACUGAGACACGGCCCAGACUCCUACGGGAGGCAGCAGUGGGGAAUUUUGGACAAUGGGCGAAAGCCUGAUCCAGCAAUGCCGCGUGCAGGAUGAAGGCCUUCGGGUUGUAAACUGCUUUUGUACGGAACGAAAAGCUUCGGGUUAAUACCCUGGAGUCAUGACGGUACCGUAAGAAUAAGCACCGGCUAACUACGUGCCAGCCGCCGCUGUAA